CCAGCCUCGCGAAGCUUCAGACCCGAAACGACACUGUUUUUAGGCUUUACUUAAAAACUUUCUUUUUCUGGCUACAGCCGACGGGGAGAGAAGGGUCCGAGAUUUGUUAUGGAUGGAAGAAAAGAGAGCUAAUGAGAGAAAAAGAGAGGGACAUUUGGCUCAAGAGAAAGUUGUGACAUAACAUGAUAGAGAGGGUGUUCCAUGCAGCUGAAGGAGAAGCCAUAGAUAAAAAAGAGGAAAGUUGGCGAUUCAGAAAUAAAGCAUGGAAGAGGAAUGAGUUACUGAAGAAGAGAACAUGGAUUAUGGCAUUGACUCGAGGAAGAAAAAAAGUAGAUG
RNAcentral lists this long non-coding RNA (336 nucleotides) under Carica papaya (papaya). RNAcentral's name for it is "long non-coding RNA (CPAP_LNC000255)". The record is from RNAcentral. Lineage: Eukaryota; Viridiplantae; Streptophyta; Magnoliopsida; Brassicales; Caricaceae.